Molecule: long non-coding RNA, 1527 nt
Organism: Python bivittatus (Burmese python)
Lineage: Eukaryota; Metazoa; Chordata; Lepidosauria; Squamata; Pythonidae
Source: RefSeq, a predicted model, not a curated record
CUGCCUGGUCUCCCUGGCUGCUCGGUGCCUUUGGAACGUGCAGGGAAACUGAGUCAGGAGGUGGAAAGCUUCACAAAGAGGAAGACAUUAAAAUGAGGAAUCGCUCUACUGUUUGGCAUCAACACUGCUGGGGAGAAAGCCACCAGCAUAUUGGAGUGGAGCGGCCUCAAUCGGACUGAAAGAACCACAAUCGGGGAAACGGAAUAGGAAACAGAGACCAUUUGUCCCUCAAUUUAGUUUUGUGCAAAUUGCAGGGAAGGAGAGGCACAGAGAGAGAGAAUUCUGCAGUGCUCCAAACUGCUUUUGCUACUGUCUCUGAUGCGACCUAUUGGAGAUACAUAACACUCCCCCCAGACCGUCCUAAGACAGUGUUUUUCAACCUUUCUGCAAUUGUGAACCACUAAAGAAAUGUUCAGAAAAUUCAAGGACCAUCCAGUUAAAUAAACACCCUACUACUCUCUAUGUUUUCAUCUUUCAGAGCAUGGGAGUUUGCAUUUCUUUUGAAACUACUACAGUUGCAUUGGUGGACACCUUCCCGUCCCCUCCAUUUUUAAAGACUCUUUUAGCCUAAAUAUUGUAUCAAAAGAAGUCAUCCAAAAUUAUCUGAGGUGCCCCAUGCCAUACCAAAUGUAGGACAAAUGCCUUAGUCAAGAAUGUUCUCUGAAUUUUAAGGGGUGAAGGGCAAGGGGCUCUCCAGCCCAACGAAACCCAAUUUCUAACUGAUGUAACUUGUAUUUGCAUGUUUUUUGGGGCGGGGGAGAGGAGGCAGUUGUUUGUGUGGACCCCCAGUUGGUAAGAAGUCCUGGGUGCUUCAAUGAAUCAGUUUUCAGCCCUGAUCUGUUCCUGCAAGUCAGCUAAUAGUUGGCACACAUGGGGAGGCAGGGUUGAGGGGGCAAGUGAACAUCGGGAGUCUGUGCUGGACAAUCUGGUGGACUUCUCCAGAUUUAGUUAUUUAACAAAUGUAUAUGAUCACCCAUCUAUCUAACGAAAUUCUGGGCGAGAUAUGGACUAAAAAACAUAACCGAACUCUAUAACUCUCAUAUAAAAUAAAACAGGGUCAAGGCCCCUGAAAAACACAUUUGCAGCAUGUCCACAAAAGCACAGCCACAGCAGAGCUCCAUCCACACCCUGGCUCCAGUGCCCAGGGGAAGAAGGACCAGCCUUCACAGCUUUCUGGAAGGCCAACGGAGUUGGGGCUGUCCUUAUCUUGGGGGGAGGUUGUUCCACAAGACAGGCACCAUGACAGAGAAGGCACACUUCCUGGGGCCCACCAAGUGACACUACUUCACCAAUGGAACCUGGAGCAUGCAUCCUCCACCAGAACUCAUGGGAUGGGCAGAAACCAUUGGGGAUAGGCAGUCCUGCAAAUAAUACUUUGCGAUCACCCUCUGAGAUGAACCCGGUCCCAGGAAAGAAAAAAAAUGUUCCUGCUGACAAUGGACAUCCGAGACAGCAUUCCAGCAACAGCCUUAACAGCACAGCUCUCAAUUGCCCUGGCUUCUGGACAGCUGAUCCUCAGCCAAGGAA